RNAcentral lists this ribosomal RNA (366 nucleotides) under uncultured bacterium MK23. RNAcentral's name for it is "bacterial SSU rRNA". It matches the Rfam family "Bacterial small subunit ribosomal RNA", at positions 1069 to 1434 of the family's 1533-position model. Lineage: Bacteria; Pseudomonadati; Bacteroidota. The record is from RNAcentral.
GAGGUGUCAGGUUAAGUCCUAUAACGAGCGCAACCCCUGUUGUUAGUUGCCAGCGAGUCAUGUCGGGAACUCUAACAAGACUGCCAGUGCAAACUGUGAGGAAGGUGGGGAUGACGUCAAAUCAUCACGGCCCUUACGCCUUGGGCUACACACGUGCUACAAUGGCCGGUACAGAGAGCAGCCACUUCGUGAGGAGGAGCGAAUCUAUAAAACCGGUCACAGUUCGGAUCGGAGUCCGCAACUCGACUCCGUGAAGCUGGAAUCGCUAGUAAUCGGAUAUCAGCCAUGAUCCGGUGAAUACGUUCCCGGGCCUUGUACACACCGCCCGUCAAGCCAUGGAAGCUGGGGGUGCCUGAAGAUGGUGAC